GGGCCCGCACAAGCGGUGGAGUAUGUGGUUUAAUUCGAUGAUACGCGAGGAACCUUACCAGGGCUUAAAUGUAGUCUGACAGGGUGGAAACACCCCUCCUUCGGGCAGAUUACAAGGUGCUGCAUGGUUGUCGUCAGCUCGUGCCGUGAGGUGUCAGGUUAAGUCCUAUAACGAGCGCAACCCCUGCCGUUAGUUGCCAGCAUGUAAUGAUGGGAACUCUAACGGGACUGCCGGUGCAAACCGCGAGGAAGGUGGGGAUGACGUCAAAUCAUCACGGCCCUUACGUCCUGGGCUACACACGUGCUACAAUGGCCGGUACAGAGGGCAGCCACACCGCAAGGUGGAGCGAAUCCUUAAAACCGGUCUCAGUUCGGAUUGCACUCUGCAACUCGAGUGCAUGAAGCUGGAAUU
Molecule: ribosomal RNA, 411 nt
Filed under: uncultured bacterium
Lineage: Bacteria
Description: bacterial SSU rRNA
Rfam family: Bacterial small subunit ribosomal RNA
Source: RNAcentral